GGAAAGUUCACACAGUGACGGUAGCUUNCCAGAAAGGGACGGCUAACUACGUGCCAGCAGCCGCGGUAAUACGUAGNUCCCGAGCGUUGUCCGGAUUUAUUGGGCGUAAAGGGAGCGCAGGCGNUCAGGAAAGUCUGGAGUAAAAGGCUAUGGNUCAACCAUAGUGUGCUCUGGAAACUGUCUGACUUGAGUGCAGAAGGGGAGAGUGGAAUUCCAUGUGUAGCGGUGAAAUGCGUAGAUAUAUGGAGGAACACCAGUGGCGAAAGCGGCUCUCUGGUCUGUCACUGACGCUGAGGCUCGAAAGCGUGGGUAGCGAACAGGAUUAGAUACCCUGGUAGUCCACGCCGUAAACGAUGAGUGCUAGGUGUUAGGCCCUUUCCGGGGCUUAGUGCCGGAGCUAACGCAAUAAGCACUCCGCCUGGGGAGUACGACCGCAAGGUUGAAACUCAAAGGAAUUGACGGGGGCCCGCACAAGCGGUGGAGCAUGUGGUUUAAUUCGAAGCAACGCGAAGAACCUUACCAGGUCUUGACAUCCCGAUGCUAUUCUUAGAGAUAGGAAGUUACUUCGGUACAUCGGAGACAGGUGUGCAUAGUUGUCGUCAGCUCGAGUUGUGAGAUGUUGGGUUAAGUCCCGCAACGAGCACAACCCUUAUUGUUAGUUGCCAUCAUUAAGUUGGGCACUCUAGCGAGACUGCCGGUAAUAAACCGGAGGAAGGUGGGGAUGACGUCAAAUCAUCAUGCCCCUUAUGACCUGGGCUACACACGUGCUACAAUGGUCGGUACAACGAGUUGCGAGCCGGUGACGGCAAGCUAAUCUCUGAAAGCCGAUCUCAGUUCGGAUUGGAGGCUGCAACUCGCCUCCAUGAAGUCGGA
This 873-nucleotide ribosomal RNA is filed under the name uncultured bacterium. Its description in RNAcentral is "bacterial SSU rRNA". It matches the Rfam family "Bacterial small subunit ribosomal RNA", at positions 455 to 1330 of the family's 1533-position model. The record is from RNAcentral.